AGAACGAACGCUGGCGGCAGGCUUAACACAUGCAAGUCGAACGCUCGUAGCAAUACGGGAGUGGCAGACGGGUGAGUAACGCGUGGGAACAUACCCUCCGGUUCGGAAUAGCUCAGGGAAACUUGGAUUAAUACCGGAUACGGCUGAGAGGCGAAAGAUUUAUCGCCGGAGGAUUGGCCCGCGUUCGAUUAGCUUGUUGGUGAGGUAACGGCUCACCAAGGCGAUGAUCGAUAGCUGGUCUGAGAGGAUGAUCAGCCACAUUGGGACUGAGACACGGCCCAAACUCCUACGGGAGGCAGCAGUGGGGAAUAUUGGACAAUGGGCGCAAGCCUGAUCCAGCCAUGCCGCGUGAGUGAUGACGGCCUUAGGGUUGUAAAGCUCUUUUACCCGGGAAGAUAAUGACGGUACCGGGAGAAUAAGCCCGGCUAACUUCGUGCCAGCAGCCGC
Molecule: ribosomal RNA, 447 nt
Filed under: uncultured bacterium
Lineage: Bacteria
Description: SSU rRNA
Rfam family: Bacterial small subunit ribosomal RNA
Source: RNAcentral